Myotis brandtii (Brandt's bat) is the source of this 823-nucleotide long non-coding RNA. RefSeq lists it as uncharacterized. The record is from RefSeq and is a predicted model, not a curated record. NCBI's taxonomy places the organism in Eukaryota, Metazoa, Chordata, Mammalia, Chiroptera, Vespertilionidae. The transcript is spliced from 2 exons.
CCCACACCGCUGCCAGCCCCGCGCCCCAAAUCCUCUCCGGGGAUUGGCAAGACUAGGAUAAAACUGGGCUCCAGGGUGGACGGAGAUGUUUUUCAGCGCCCGCAGUGACUCCUCGAGGAGCCUUUGGGCAGCCGGGUGGCCCUGGGGAGAUUUGGAGACUGCGCUCGGUGGAGCCCCCCACUGGUGCGACCGGAUUCCUCUGCCUUGGACUGAGCUCCAAGCUACGAAAAAAAGACAGACCUGGGUUCAUUGAACACUGAAACUAACCAAACUGCCGCUUGAAUUCUUGCACACUCACUACUUACAAACUAUGGAGUCAUUUGGCCUCUCAGCCUGUAAACCCAAUAUAUCACCCUCGGGCGCUGCCUUUUCUCUGCCUUCUAAGGCAGUUCCCUUGCGCAUGCCCUACUCUGUUUCCAGUUCCUUGGCCCUUCAAAUCGGCUACAGCCUAUUGUCAAGGAGCAUCUGGGCUCUGCUGGAGAGAUCGUCCAGACCCACCCCUGACAUUUACCAGAAGGAAUCAGGCUGGGAGCUCAAGAGAGGGGCCCGCGGUCACACCCAGUCAGCCCCAAGGAAAGUCUAGGCCAGAACUGCUGCCUUGAGGGCUCCAAUGUCAGCAGAGCUCACUCCCCUACACCCUGGUGUCAGGUGAAGCAUCACUGGAGACAGGAAUGCAGAGUGAGGUCAGAGGGUGCAGAGACUAGCUUGAGUGUCCAUCCUCUCCGCUUCACUUUCUCCGUGUGUAAAAGAGUGGUGAUAUUUAAUCUACUUACUUUAUUGCAUUAAGUGGAGAAAUAAAUGAAAUUCAAUAUCUGAAGUGUUA